Molecule: ribosomal RNA, 253 nt
Filed under: uncultured bacterium
Lineage: Bacteria
Description: partial 16S ribosomal RNA
Rfam family: Bacterial small subunit ribosomal RNA
Source: RNAcentral
UACGUAGGGGGCUAGCGUUGUCCGGAAUCAUUGGGCGUAAAGCGCGUGUAGGCGGUCCGGUAAGUCCGCUGUGAAAGUCGGGGGCUCAACCCUCGGAUGCCGGUGGAUACUGUCGGGCUUGAGUAUGGAAGAGGCGAGUGGAAUUCCUGGUGUAGCGGUGAAAUGCGCAGAUAUCAGGAGGAACACCAAUUGCGAAGGCAGCUCGCUGGGACGUUACUGACGCUGAGGCGCGAAAGCGUGGGGAGCGAACAGG